This is a non-coding RNA of Gorilla gorilla gorilla (western lowland gorilla), 148 nucleotides long. It matches the Rfam family "Metazoan signal recognition particle RNA". Rfam says of the family: The signal recognition particle (SRP) is a universally conserved ribonucleoprotein. It is involved in the co-translational targeting of proteins to membranes. NCBI's taxonomy places the organism in Eukaryota, Metazoa, Chordata, Mammalia, Primates, Hominidae. The record is from Rfam.
GCCAGGUGUGGUGGCGCACGCCUGUAGUCCCAGCUACUCGGGAGGCUGAGGCAGGAGAAUCUCUUGAACCCUGGAGGUGGAGGUUGCAGUGAGCCGAGAUUGUGCCACUGCACUCCAGCCUGGGUAACAUAGUGAGACUCCGUCUCAA